GUAACUCUCUCUCUCUCUCUGCUUGCAUUUGGUCAAAUAACCUCAGCUUAUGGUUGUUUAUUCUCUUGUUUCAUAUGGAAUAAUAAACAGUCUAUAACAAGCUGAAAGAUAUAGAUACAAUAGACCUCAAGUGGUGUCCAAUUAUACCCGAUAAGGCAAGUUUUUCUCUUAAACUUUCAUAAAUUUAGUUUCUAUGUGCAUAUUUUAAUUCUUUAGGAUUCUCUCUAACAGCAUGCAUACUUGAAGCAUGAGAAAAAGUUUGCUGAACUCUUCAAGAAGCAUGAAGAGAAAAAGAAGCGGUGGAUGCUGAUUGAAGAAGAAAAAGAGCGUCUUGGGAAAGGGAAAAGAGGAGCUGUUACUGAUAAGUUGAAACCAUGUUAUGCUAUGCUCUUGGCCUGAGAAUAGAGGAGCAGUUACUGAUAGGUUGAAACCAUGUUAUGCUAUGCUCUUGGCCUGAGAAUUGUGUCAGUCUUUUGUGCAAGAAUGUAGAAGAAUUAUUAUAAUUCUAAUUGUGUUAUGUUUCUUUGUUUUGUAUUCUGUGUUGGAUUUCAGUUCUGCUAAUCUUUGUGGCACGUACUGCUUCAUUGCCUGAUGUUGCAUAAUACAGAAUAGUGUUGGCAUGUUGAGAUGAUCAAAUUAAUAUUAACAAUAAAAGAAAAAUGACAAGACUGUUUAGUUGGAUUACAAUUGCACAAAACAUGACCUCGUCGCCUCAUUUUUUUUAUUUUUUUUUUGGCUAAGAAUGAAUUAAGCCAAAUUAUGAAAUUAAUAAAGAAAGAAGAGUUCUUUCUACAAACAAGUUUGUCAAUAGGUACAUUCCGUCCUCUGCAAAACCAUGCAAUUAUGCAGAUUCAUCUUUUUUUUACACAAGACAAGGAAAGAAAUUUCUGAACAAAAUAAAAUGAGAAAUUCAUAAAGCAAGGCCAUUUCUUCUGAACUUGAAAAGUUGAUCUAUUAUGAAGAUUGGGGAGAACACAAGAAACGAGACAAAUGUAAGAACCUGUUCAAUUCGGUAACACGGAGCAAGAUGGCUACAAAUAAUAUUUAGGAACUAAAAAAUGUGAUUUAUUUUCAUUGGAACUAAAAACAAAACUGCAGAUAUUUAUAGGGACCAAAAACUUAAUUAACCCUUUUAAAAACCGUUUUUUGGAUCCUCCAUUUAUUUUAUUUUCUUCAUAAAUUUGGGUCUUUUUUGAUGAUGUGACAUUUUUUAAGAGGAAAUAAACGCUUAUAGCAUCUUAUUUUUUUAUGAUGUUAACUCGCUUAAAGUAGUCGGCAAUUUUUUCCGAGUUAAAAUAUAAUAAAUAUUGUUUUAAAAAAAAUUAAACUAACUCAUUCAAAUUAAUACUGGAAAAAAUCGAACCUCAUACUUUAAGAAGGGUCACGCUUUAAAGUUCACGACCAACUUAUUGUUAAGUUGGGACAAAAGAAUAUUAUACUUUUAAAAUGGAGACCGAAACUUUUUUUUUUUAAUAGAAAAGACACCGAAACUUGUUUUUAAUAGAAAAGACAAAAUGCAUUUAAUAUUAUUUUCAAAAUAUUAAAUCUUUCUUUUCUUUUUAUACAUUUGUUAACAAUUCACAUUGUCAAUGAAGUAUUAUCCAGAAAACCUUCAUUAUAAAUAUAAGAGUAAAUUACACCCUCUUCCCAUUAAAGAUAUUUGAAUUACAUUUCCCUCCCCUUUAUAUUAAAAUAUACACUCCCCUCCCUUAAAAAGAAAAAUUUAUACUUGUGAAAUGGUUUAGUUAAUUUUGAUAUGGUUCGAUUCGGUUACUGGUUAAUUUUGCCCACCCCUACACUUGGGUUAAUUCAUGCUUGAUUUAAGUUACGUAGAGAUUAACACUAGAAUUAAAUCACGUUGCGUGAUUUAACACACCUAAAAUAUACACUAGUGUGAUUUAAAUCACAUAAGGACAUUUUAAAUAUUUACUUUGGCAAUGAGCAAAACUGUAAAGAGCAAAAUUCUACACUUAAAUCCCGAAUUGGGCCGAGUAACCAACCCAUUUUGCUAUAUAUAUAUAUAUAUAUAUAUAUAUAUAUAUAUAUAUAUAUAUAUAUAUAGACUUGUCUAUUUCGUUCAAUAGUUUGCCGAUAUCCACUCGCUGAUCGCGUUUGUUUUCAGAGUUCGUUCAUUCGUUUUCUACCUUCUUCAUUGGAUUUGUAUACCUCCCUCAUCUCCAUCAUGUUUGAGGUAUUUUCAUUCCUUUUCAAUUCUGUUUGAUUCGACUCUUCUCAAAUUUGUGAGAUUAGGGUUUGUAACUUUUGAAUUGAUUUUUUUUAUGUGAAAUAGAAUGUUUUGUGAUGGAAUUAAACCUUCCAUUACACUGAUUCUUUGCUCGUAUGUUUCUUUAUCAAUUCAAUCUGUUCUGUGUUGUGUUGUUUGGAGAUAUUCCAAUCUUAUCUUAUUUGCGGGAUUAGGGUUUCAAACCUUUGAAUUGGGGAUUUCAAUUUUGUGUGUGACAAUCUGAUUUUCUUUUUAUUUGCAAGGGUUUUUGUUGAUUGGCUAACAUCUAUGAAGCCCCGAUACCGAUACGAUACGGCCUCGAUAAAUUUAAAAUUAAUAGUAUAAGUGCACAAUGUAUAAACAUAACUAAAAAUGAUAAUAAACAAUGAAAAUGAUCAAAACAAGUGACAAUUACAUAUUUUUUCCGCACAAAUUAGAUAGAAUAUAGCUAAACAUCAUUAGUACCAUCCAAAGAGAACAACAUAAGUACUAUAAAAACAGCAGAAGAAACAUAACAUUAGAGAGAAGAGAAACAGAGUAGAAUUCAAUCAGUGAUAAUGGUUAGAAGAGAGAAUAGCUAUUGCUAUGUGGUGACGAGAAACCCUAUUUUUUUUUUUGUUAGAAGAGACAAUAUGAUUUUGGUAGCGCUUCCAGACUUGAUAGGUGUCCGAGUAUAAGUAAGCUGUGUCGGAGUACAAGUUAGUCGUAUCCGACACGUAUCGGACAUUUUUUUUCCUUCAAAAAAUAAAUAUUAACUGCCCGAUGCUUUUCUGAUACGCGUAUCGGGACGUAUUCGACACGUAUUGGUCAUUGUUUUUCAAAAAAAUAAAUAUUAAUUGUCCGAUACUUUUCCGAUACGCGUAUCGAGGCGUAUCGGUAUCAGAUACAUGUCGGAUACGAUACUUCACCAUUUUUGGAGUAUCGGGGCUUCAGAGGCUAACAUAAAUUAUUCUAUUUGUAACUUAUGGUUUCUUUUUAUUAUUUGUAAGAGAAACUUAUAUGCUACAUAUGUUCCUCAUUUUAUCGUUAUUAUUUUUAUAUUUGUGUUUGCCACUUUUAAUUAAUUAGUUGUUCUCUGUUGGAAUUUAUUCAAAGGAACAUUACCAGCACCCUAGACUCUCCCCAAUGGGCCCUUCACGAUUGCCGCUGCCACCGCAAAUGGGUAAUUCAACCUAAUCCUAUUUUCAUACAAGUAUUAUUUUGCUGUUUGAUUUGAUGAAUCUCAAAUAAUAACUUCACCCUUUGGAUUCUUAUUAUUUCAUCAAUACAAUAGAAAGAAAACUUCUUCAUGAGAAGAAGCGGAAGGAGCAAGAAGUAGAAAGCACAAAGGAGGAUCUUCUCCAUGGGAAGAAGCCAAAGGAGCAAAAAGUAGAAAGUACCGAGGGAGAUCUGCUUUAUGAUGGUGAGAAGCCAAAAGAAUUCGAAUGCCCGGUUUACGCAGAGACAUUGAAAGGUAACUCUCUCUCUCUCUCUGCUUGCAUUUGGUCAAAUAACCUCAGCUUAUGGUUGUUUAUUCUCUUGUUUCAUAUGGAAUAAUAAACAGUCUAUAACAAGCUGAAAGAUAUAGAUACAAUAGACCUCAAGUGGUGUCCAAUUAUACCCGAUAAGGCAAGUUUUUCUCUUAAACUUUCAUAAAUUUAGUUUCUAUGUGCAUAUUUUAAUUCUUUAGGAUUCUCUCUAACAGCAUGCAUACUUGAAGCAUGAGAAAAAGUUU
This 3938-nucleotide long non-coding RNA is filed under the name Medicago truncatula (barrel medic). RNAcentral's name for it is "long non-coding RNA (MTRU_LNC001285)". Lineage: Eukaryota; Viridiplantae; Streptophyta; Magnoliopsida; Fabales; Fabaceae. The record is from RNAcentral.